CCGUCUCUUCUUGGCUGGCCGGUUGACUCUUGGACAGACUCAAGCGAAGCGGAGAGCAGUACCUUCAUGACAUCGAGCUCCCCGUUCGCGAUGGCAUAAUGCAAAGGGACUCUUCUCUCCCUUCCCUUCACAAAGCACAGGUGGAGACCCACAAUCAAAAGCUCUCUCGCUGCAUUAAUUGAGAGAGAGAGUGGGAGACCAGGAGGGGACAGAGGGAAGAAAAGAGACCCCGGGUGUGUGUGUG
RNAcentral lists this long non-coding RNA (244 nucleotides) under Eucalyptus grandis. RNAcentral describes it as "long non-coding RNA (EGRA_LNC002771)". Lineage: Eukaryota; Viridiplantae; Streptophyta; Magnoliopsida; Myrtales; Myrtaceae. The record is from RNAcentral.